CUGAGGCGUGACGACGAGGCACUACGGUGCUGAAGCAACAAAUGCCCUGCUUCCAGGAAAAGCCUCUAAGCAUCAGGUAACAUCAAAUCGUACCCCAAACCGACACAGGUGGUCAGGUAGAGAAUACCAAGGCGCUUGAGAGAACUCGGGUGAAGGAACUAGGCAAAAUGGUGCCGUAACUUCGGGAGAAGGCACGCUGACACGUAGGUGAAGUGAUUUACUCAUGGAGCUGAAGUCAGUCGAAGAUACCAGCUGGCUGCAACUGUUUAUUAAAAACACAGCACUGUGCAAACACGAAAGUGGACGUAUACGGUGUGACGCCUGCCCGGUGCCGGAAGGUUAAUUGAUGGGGUCAGCGCAAGCGAAGCUCCUGAUCGAAGCCCCGGUAAACGGCGGCCGUAACUAUAACGGUCCUAAGGUAGCGAAAUUCCUUGUCGGGUAAGUUCCGACCUGCACGAAUGGCGUAAUGAUGGCCAGGCUGUCUCCACCCGAGACUCAGUGAAAUUGAACUCGCUGUGAAGAUGCAGUGUACCCGCGGCAAGACGGAAAGACCCCGUGAACCUUUACUAUAGCUUGACACUGAACAUUGAGCCUUGAUGUGUAGGAUAGGUGGGAGGCUUUGAAGUGUGGACGCCAGUCUGCAUGGAGCCGACCUUGAAAUACCACCCUUUAAUGUUUGAUGUUCUAACGUGGACCCGUAAUCCGGGUUGCGGACAGUGUCUGGUGGGUAGUUUGACUGGGGCGGUCUCCUCCUAAAGAGUAACGGAGGAGCACGAAGGUUGGCUAAUCCUGGUCGGACAUCAGGAGGUUAGUGCAAUGGCAUAAGCCAGCUUGACUGCGAGCGUGACGGCGCGAGCAGGUGCGAAAGCAGGUCAUAGUGAUCCGGUGGUUCUGAAUGGAAGGGCCAUCGCUCAACGGAUAAAAGGUACUCCGGGGAUAACAGGCUGAUACCGCCCAAGAGUUCAUAUCGACGGCGGUGUUUGGCACCUCGAUGUCGGCUCAUCACAUCCUGGGGCUGAAGUAGGUCCCAAGGGUAUGGCUGUUCGCCAUUUAAAGUGGUACGCGAGCUGGGUUUAGAACGUCGUGAGACAGUUCGGUCCCUAUCUGCCGUGGGCGCUGGAGAACUGAGGGGGGCUGCUCCUAGUACGAGAGGACCGGAGUGGACGCAUCACUGGUGUUCGGGUUGUCAUGCCAAUGGCACUGCCCGGUAGCUAAAUGCGGAAGAGAUAAGUGCUGAAAGCAUCUAAGCACGAAACUUGCCCCGAGAUGAGUUCUCCCUGAGACUUAGAGUCUCCUGAAGGAACGUUGAAGACGACGACGUUGAUAGGCCGGGUGUGUAAGCGCAGCGAUGCGUUGAGCUAACCGGUACUAAUGAACCGUGAGGCUUAACC
RNAcentral lists this ribosomal RNA (1391 nucleotides) under Salmonella enterica subsp. enterica serovar Paratyphi B str. ATCC BAA-1585. RNAcentral describes it as "bacterial LSU rRNA". It matches the Rfam family "Bacterial large subunit ribosomal RNA", at positions 1556 to 2925 of the family's 2925-position model. Lineage: Bacteria; Pseudomonadati; Pseudomonadota; Gammaproteobacteria; Enterobacterales; Enterobacteriaceae. The record is from RNAcentral.